Molecule: non-coding RNA, 75 nt
Organism: Myotis davidii
Lineage: Eukaryota; Metazoa; Chordata; Mammalia; Chiroptera; Vespertilionidae
Source: Rfam
GGCGGUUCUCGGGUGACACACCCCGGAAUCGGGCUCCCUCCUCUCUGGUUCUGGGUGCAUCACCCAAGAACCACA